AAAACAGGAGCGGUUCGCCCUAUAAGGAAAUUCCCCGCCUCCCAGCCCAUCAUGCCUUGCUGCCGACUUCCGGUUCUCCAGGGUAUAAAGCGGCGGCUCCGGGCCAAAUUUCAGGAGAAGCUUUGGUGCGAGCCUCUUGACUCUUCUGACCUGGAUCGUUUUCCCUGGAAUAAAUGGUGUCAGACUCGUUGCUAAAUAGUCUGACAACCAGAGGGGACGAGCCCAUGGCUGCCGAAGGUUCCAGGUCAGCCCCCAGAGCCCGGUGAAGCCACUCUACCUCCCGCUCGCUCUUCGCGUCUCAGGUAAUCUUCGAAGCAAGGGAAGAGAAGAGUAUGCUAUCCUGUCAUGACAUUUCUUUUCAAAAUACGUGGCUUAAAGAGGAACGGAAAGAGAAGUCAUUAUUUCCAAACUUCAAGGACAGAGAUCCUCUAGGAUUCUACCCAGUAUUGAGCUUGCAUUCCUGUUGUUUUAGAAGACACUGCUUUCCGGUCUUUGGUAUCAUUGAGCAUGUAACAUGGGUAAGAGAUGUGUAGGCAUCAUGAAUUAAGGAGAAGAAAGCCAGAAGAAUUGGAAAAUACUGAACUGAGCCUUGAGAAUAUAGAGACACCACACAACUAUGACAUUUCACCAACUCUGGGCUACUUGUGAUGUGAAACAGUAAAUUCUUUACUUGUUCAGGCCAUUACCUGGAUCUUUACUACCUACUACUGAAGCUAUCUUAUGUAAAUUAUGUCUGUGGUUUAUAAAAGGAUGUAAAAAAAAAAAUUAAAAAAAUAAAGGAUGUAGGUCAGGAGGAAUAUAGGCCCUU
Molecule: long non-coding RNA, 808 nt
Filed under: Vulpes vulpes (red fox)
Lineage: Eukaryota; Metazoa; Chordata; Mammalia; Carnivora; Canidae
Description: lncRNA (ENSVVUG00000025154.1)
Source: RNAcentral